UAUUCGCGCGUCUGUGGAUUGGCUAUGUCGCUCUCCUACCGUUGGAUCUUCAUUUUGAGCCUCCAUCUUCACCAUCCGAAUGAGCUCCCGUAGCUGAGAUUGGGCGAGUUGCUCGUUUUCCUUCAAUGCAUUAAUUUCGGCCGUUCGAUCACCUUUUUCGGCUUUCAUCUUCGCCGUCCGAAUGCUAUUGCCUUUCUAAUCUUCCUUCCGUGAGAUGCAUGUAUCUGCCACGUCAAUUUUGGCGGAUGUAUUCAAUGGUAGCAGCUUUCAUCAACCCCCAGUCUGCAACUCGAAAUCCAUCUUUUGUUGUUGCAUUCCCUGCUAGCAGCUUGCAACGUUCGUAGAGAGUUGGUCAGAGCUGCACCUUUCGGGGGAAUGAACUACGCAGUGAGGGAAGAUUGAAAGAGAACUCAAACAAAUAUUUGCUUCUAAGUCCAGUUCUCAAUUCGAUUUCUGUCUUCAAGAAUCAGGUGCAAAUCGUCUUCGUUGUCGCCCUUUUGUAUACGUCGAUUUGCUCCCGCGGCUUCUCAUCUCGACCGUUGAAGUUGGUGCAUGUAUCCACGCAGCAAUUUACGUCCAUCACUCACCUCUGUAUAUUUUCGUUCUUUACUUUUCUCCCUCUUUGGUUGACUUUUGUUGCUGUUGUGUAAACCCUGGUGAUUGGGAUCUGUCCCUGAAGAUUUGUCUUCGAUGUUUCUUUUGCUCUUCUUCUUCACUCUUUGACAGGUCUUUCGCUUAGUUUUGCUCAGCUGCCUUGGGUAAUAUCUGCUAUCUUCUAAGCUCGAUAGGGGUUACUGCUUUAUUGGUUGUCACUUGCUGGUUUUACCUUUCGUUUCUCAUUUGAUGAGUCUGGAAUAAUUGUUGUUUGGGACCUUCUAACUUUGGUAUGACUCUAUUUCUUUCAUCUUCUAUUUUUUCUCUCUGUAUCUCAUUUCAUGUGGCCGAAGUAGACGUCAAUUUUUGGACGAAUAAAUGUGAAGCUAGGUUGGGGUGGUCACUUGGUGGCUAGAUAUAGGUUUGCACAGUUAUUGCUUUUGUGAGGUGAAUGGCCAAUCACAGUUAUUGCUUAUGUGUAAGAAAUCUUGAUGAUGAUGAGUUGGAUAGUCAUUUGGAGCAUAUUCAAAAUCUAUGUUACAGAAAAAUGAAGAAAACAUUCAGGGAAUCAAAGGUCAAAACACAAAAGCAAUACUACGCAUGAAAAAAAUAAUCACUUGCAAGACCUAUGGAUCAUAUAUCACAAGAUAUAUUCUCCUAUGUCGAGCCUCACUUGCAGUCAUGGUUCAGAAGAUAUGGAGAGAAUUUUUCUUAUGUGGUUUAGUCCUCAAACAUGCUCGGUGAUUUGGAGCCAGAGCUGAUGAAAGAGAUACUGAACAAUAAAGACAGAACUUAUUCAAAAAUUACUCCAGAUUAUAUAAAUAAGUUAGUAGGAGAUGGCCUUGAUUCAUCCAUUGGACCAAAAUGUUCUAAGAUGAGGAAAAACCACACUUUCCAUGCAGAGAGCUUGAAAAAUAUGAUACCAGCGAUGAUUGUUAGUACGGAAAUGAUGCUUGAGAGAUGGAAAAAUUAUGAUCAACGUCGACUACAAAUCUACGAGAAACGAAUCAUUUUAUGGUACUUCUGGCAUGAUGAGACCUUAGAAUGGUCUUCUUUUCAUUGUAUUUGUAAUACGGGUAUAUUUCUUUCAUAUCCGUGUUCAUAUUUUCUUCAAAUAUUAGUGCAUCUGUACUACGAACUUCAAAUAGGAGAAAUAGGAGCUCUGUUAUGUUA
RNA transcript from Tripterygium wilfordii, 1767 nucleotides. RefSeq lists it as uncharacterized. The transcript has 6 exons. The record is from RefSeq and is a predicted model, not a curated record. Lineage: Eukaryota; Viridiplantae; Streptophyta; Magnoliopsida; Celastrales; Celastraceae.